UAGGGAAUCUUCCGCAAUGGGCGAAAGCCUGACGGAGCAACGCCGCGUGAGUGAUGAAGGUCUUCGGAUCGUAAAACUCUGUCAUUAGGGAAGAACAAAUGUGUAAGUAACUAUGCACGUCUUGACGGCACCUAAUCAGAAAGCCACGGCUAACUACGUGCCAGCAGCCGCGGUAAUACGUAGGUGGCAAGCGUUAUCCGGAAUUAUUGGGCGUAAAGCGCGCGUAGGCGGUUUUUUAAGUCUGAUGUGAAAGCCCACGGCUCAACCGUGGAGGGUCAUUGGAAACUGGAAAACUUGAGUGCAGAAGAGGAAAGUGGAAUUCCAUGUGUAGCGGUGAAAUGCGAAGAGAUAUGGAGGAACACCAGUGGCGAAGGCGACUUUCUGGUCUGUAACUGACGCUGAUGUGCGAAAGCGUGGGGAUCAAACAGG
This 429-nucleotide ribosomal RNA is filed under the name Bacteroidota bacterium. Its description in RNAcentral is "Bacteroidetes bacterium partial 16S ribosomal RNA". It matches the Rfam family "Bacterial small subunit ribosomal RNA", at positions 355 to 776 of the family's 1533-position model. Lineage: Bacteria; Pseudomonadati; Bacteroidota. The record is from RNAcentral.